UAGGGAAUAUUGGACAAUGGGGGCAACCCUGAUCCAGCCAUGCCGCGUGAGUGAAGAAGGCCCUCGGGUUGUAAAGCUCUUUUGUCCGGAAAGAAAAGCAUUCGGUGAAUACCCGGAUGUUCUGACGGUACCGGAAGAAUAAGCACCGGCUAACUUCGUGCCAGCAGCCGCGGUAAUACGAAGGGUGCAAGCGUUACUCGGAAUUACUGGGCGUAAAGCGUGCGUAGGUGGUUGUUUAAGUCUGAUGUGAAAGCCCUGGGCUCAACCUGGGAAUGGCGUUGGAAACUGGGCAGCUAGAGUGCGGUAGAGGGUAGUGGAAUUCCCGGUGUAGCAGUGAAAUGCGUAGAGAUCGGGAGGAACAUCUGUGGCGAAGGCGACUGCCUGGACCAGCACUGACACUGAGGCACGAAAGCGUGGGGAGCAAACA
Molecule: ribosomal RNA, 427 nt
Filed under: uncultured bacterium
Lineage: Bacteria
Description: bacterial SSU rRNA
Rfam family: Bacterial small subunit ribosomal RNA
Source: RNAcentral